RNAcentral lists this non-coding RNA (181 nucleotides) under Candidatus Fermentithermobacillaceae bacterium. RNAcentral describes it as "6S RNA". It matches the Rfam family "6S / SsrS RNA". From Rfam's summary of the family: E. coli 6S RNA was the first non coding RNA to be sequenced, but its function was unknown until recently. The record is from RNAcentral. Lineage: Bacteria; Bacillati; Bacillota; Candidatus Fermentithermobacillia; Candidatus Fermentithermobacillales; Candidatus Fermentithermobacillaceae.
ACUGCCCUGCUGUGAUCGUGGAUCGCGGUGAGUUUGAGCCAACACCGUGAAAGAGGGAGCCUGACCUCCUUCUGCGGCGUGUAAGCCGUGUAGUCAGCGGAAACACAAAAGCUUUUGGGGAGGCACCCACCUGCUUAAGCAGGUUCAACACCCUCCGGGUUCACGACAUGGCGGGGUUUUU